ACGCUCCGUGGUUCACCCUGUAUAAGCAGACGAAGCAACACAUUGCAGGACCAACAUUAUGGUGUAGCGUCAAAUUGUUUGAAUUACAUCAGGUGAUGAGGCAUGAAUCAAUUGUUUCCAAAUAUAUUAACAAAGAUCGGAAAUGGCACAAAAUUGCAGAAUAAUGAGCAAGAAUUACUGGAGUCACGGUUCUUCACAAAGGAACAAACUGAACAACUCUGUCCUCGCGGUUUAGUCUUUUCUUAUCGAAUAAUUCAGUGAACGGUUAUAAUCAUUCUAUUCUUAGUAAUAUUGCAGAUAAUAUUGUAUCUCCAGCUACAGACGUAUACAUUGGGUAUCACAGCACAAAUCAGGAAGCUUUCAUACGACAAAAAAUACACAAAAUGUCAGUCAUAGACACCGGAAGUUUGCCGUAUGAAAUCACAUUAGUUAUCGCUAGAGUUUACAGACACAGCUAAAAUUGGUCAGAAAAUGAGAAGUAAAGUGAGCACUUACAUGCAACUUAACAACAUCAGACGAAGAGCUGUGCCCAUUGCACGCCGAACUUCAAAUAUUACUAUGAACAACAACAAAACCAUUUCUGUCAAAAGGAAUUAUUUUCCAGUUAUUGCUGCAUGCGCAGUCACUAUUCAUAAAUCGCAAGGAGAGUGACCACAAUCAAUGGACUCUACAUUGUUACGAAAGACGACAGCAAGGUGUUUCAUCAUGGCAGCAGGAAUGCAUCAUCAAUGGACGGAUCACUGUCGGAAUUUCGUAGACUCGCUCUGAAUCGAUUGUCGACAAUCGACAAUUUACUGAACGAGUUUAUCACCACCAGAAAAGGACUGGCAAUCUAUUCUUUCAACUGUUAGAGUUUACGGAAGCAUGCAGCAAGUCUCAACAGUUCAAACGAGAUAAUGUCAGAAAUGGUGGAGUUGCUAUAUACCAGAAGUCUAACAAUGCUACUGCGGUUCUGACGUCUAAUACGGACAUAACUUUACGACUAAUUACUUCACUGUGAGUUAAUGCUGCUGACGUUGGGGAAAUCUGUGCAGCUUGUUGCCUUUUGGACAACGGACAAAUGAUCAUGACUGUCGUUGUGUACAUAUCACCGAACCAGUCUAUUCCAAAAAUCAUGCAAUUUAUUCAUGAAGUUUUGGCUCUCUACACCCAUGAUGUCACAGCUAUAGUGAAUGUGGACUACGACAAGAUGCCAAUGAUUAUGAAUGGAGAUUUUAAUGUGAAUUUCGCAGCACCAGAAGCAAAGCCCUUGCUACAAUUUUUAGAAUUUAAAUUAAGCUUAACAAUGAACAAUGAUCCAGCUCUAUCUACAAUAAAAUAUGGAACAACAAUAGAUGCUGUAUUUUCACGAUAUUUAAACAAAUUACAAUCAACAGUUUAGGUGUCACACUUCAGUUAUCACAGACCACUACUGUCAGUCCUUGAAUACGAUUCCAUGGAAAUUAAAGAAUAAAUGUAUUUAUUCUUUUAUUUACUUAAUAUUACCCCUUCUCGACCUUAUCACCAGCUAAAGAAGUUUCACUUCUA
Long non-coding RNA from Cephus cinctus (wheat stem sawfly), 1527 nucleotides. RefSeq lists it as uncharacterized. The transcript has 4 exons. NCBI's taxonomy places the organism in Eukaryota, Metazoa, Arthropoda, Insecta, Hymenoptera, Cephidae. The record is from RefSeq and is a predicted model, not a curated record.